UACGUAGGGACCAAGCGUUGUUCGGAAUUACUGGGCGUAAAGCGUGCGCAGGCGGUGAUGUAAGACAGAUGUGAAAUCCCCGGGCUCAACCUGGGAACUGCAUUUGUGACUGCAUCGCUGGAGUGCGGCAGAGGGGGAUGGAAUUCCGCGUGUAGCAGUGAAAUGCGUAGAUAUGCGGAGGAACACCGAUGGCGAAGGCAAUCCCCUGGGCCUGCACUGACGCUCAUGCACGAAAGCGUGGGGAGCGAACAGG
RNAcentral lists this ribosomal RNA (253 nucleotides) under uncultured bacterium. RNAcentral's name for it is "partial 16S ribosomal RNA". It matches the Rfam family "Bacterial small subunit ribosomal RNA", at positions 524 to 776 of the family's 1533-position model. The record is from RNAcentral.